AUUGAGUUUGAUCCUGGCUCAGGACGAACGCUGGCGGCGUGCUUAACACAUGCAAGUCGAACGGAAAGGCCCUUCGGGGUACUCGAGUGGCGAACGGGUGAGUAACACGUGGGUGAUCUGCCCUGCACUUUGGGAUAAGCCUGGGAAACUGGGUCUAAUACCGGAUAUACCCUGCUGGUCGCAUGGCCUGGUGGGGGAAAGCUUUUGCGGUGUGGGAUGGGCCCGCGGCCUAUCAGCUUGUUGGUGAGGUUACGGAUCACCAAGGCGACGACGGGUAGCCGGCCUGAGAGGGUGACCGGCCACACUGGGACUGAGAUACGGCCCAGACUCCUACGGGAGGCAGCAGUGGGGAAUAUUGCACAAUGGGCGCAAGCCUGAUGCAGCGACGCCGCGUGGGGGAUGACGGCCUUCGGGUUGUAAACCUCUUUCAGUGGGGACGAAGCGCAAGUGACGGUACCUACAGAAGAAGGACCGGCCAACUACGUGCCAGCAGCCGCGGUAAAAUC
Molecule: ribosomal RNA, 506 nt
Filed under: uncultured bacterium
Lineage: Bacteria
Description: bacterial SSU rRNA
Rfam family: Bacterial small subunit ribosomal RNA
Source: RNAcentral